UACUUUGUCUCCAUAUUUGCUCCCGUGAG
This 29-nucleotide non-coding RNA is filed under the name Mus musculus (house mouse). The record is from RNAcentral. Lineage: Eukaryota; Metazoa; Chordata; Mammalia; Rodentia; Muridae.